CCUACGGGUGGCAGCAGUGGGGAAUUUUGCGCAAUGCGCGUAAGCGUGACGCAGCGACGCCGCGUGAAUGACGAAGGCCUUCGGGUCGUAAAGUUCUUUCGGCAUGGAAGAAAAUGCCUAUAAGUAACUGUGUAUGUAUUGACGGUACCUGUAUAAGCAGCCCCGGCUAACUCCGUGCCAGCAGCCGCGGUAAUACGGAGGGGGCGAGCGUUGUUCGGAGUGACUGGGCGUAAAGAGCACGUAGGCGGUGGUGUAAGUCAUUAGUCAAAGACUAGAGCUUAACCUGGGUAAGGCAUGUGAUACUAGAAAGCUAGAGUAUCAGAGGGGAUGGCAGAAUCCCAUGUGUAGCGGUGAAAUGCGUAGAUAUGAGGAGGAAUACCGAUGGCGAAGGCGGCAAUCUGGCUGGAAACUGACGCUGAGGUGCGAAAGCGUGGGUAGCAAACAGGAUUAGAUACCCGUGUAGUC
Molecule: ribosomal RNA, 465 nt
Filed under: uncultured bacterium
Lineage: Bacteria
Description: partial 16S ribosomal RNA
Rfam family: Bacterial small subunit ribosomal RNA
Source: RNAcentral